This 497-nucleotide ribosomal RNA is filed under the name uncultured bacterium. Its description in RNAcentral is "partial 16S ribosomal RNA". It matches the Rfam family "Bacterial small subunit ribosomal RNA", at positions 28 to 507 of the family's 1533-position model. The record is from RNAcentral.
GAUGAACGCUGGCGGCGUGCCUAAUACAUGCAAGUCGAGCGAACGGACGAGAAGCUUGCUUCUCUGAUGUUAGCGGCGGACGGGUGAGUAACACGUGGAUAACCUACCUAUAAGACUGGGAUAACUUCGGGAAACCGGAGCUAAUACCGGAUAAUAUUUUGAACCGCAUGGUUCAAAAGUGAAAGACGGUCUUGCUGUCACUUAUAGAUGGAUCCGCGCUGCAUUAGCUAGUUGGUAAGGUAACGGCUUACCAAGGCAACGAUGCAUAGCCGACCUGAGAGGGUGAUCGGCCACACUGGAACUGAGACACGGUCCAGACUCCUAUGGGAGGCAGCAGUAGGGAAUCUUCCGCAAUGGGCGAAAGCCUGACGGGGCAACGCCGCGUGAGUGAUGAAGGUCUUCGGAUCGUAAAACUCUGUUAUUAGGGAAGAACAUAUGUGUAAGUAACUGUGCACAUCUUGACGGUACCUAAUCAGAAAGCCACGGCUAACUACGUG